RNAcentral lists this microRNA (24 nucleotides) under Ananas comosus (pineapple). RNAcentral's name for it is "microRNA s1290_c032b". Lineage: Eukaryota; Viridiplantae; Streptophyta; Magnoliopsida; Poales; Bromeliaceae. The record is from RNAcentral.
CAUCGAUUCGUUCAAAAUUUACAC